Molecule: ribosomal RNA, 262 nt
Filed under: uncultured bacterium
Lineage: Bacteria
Description: partial 16S ribosomal RNA
Source: RNAcentral
CUGCUGCCUCCCGUAGGAGUUUGGGCCGUGUCUCAGUCCCAAUGUGGCCGUUCACCCUCUCAGGCCGGCUACUGAUCGUCGCUUUGGUGGGCCGUUACCCCGCCAACUGGCUAAUCAGACGCGGAUCCAUCGUAUACCACCGGAGUUUUUCACACUGUUCCAUGCGGAACCGUGCGCUUAUGCGGUAUUAGCACCUAUUUCUAAGUGUUAUCCCCCUGUAUACGGCAGGUUAUCCACGCGUUACUCACCCGUCCGCCACUGA